Non-coding RNA from Vicia faba (fava bean), 213 nucleotides. NCBI's taxonomy places the organism in Eukaryota, Viridiplantae, Streptophyta, Magnoliopsida, Fabales, Fabaceae. The record is from the annotation of a GenBank genome assembly.
AUGAUAACUGAUUCUCUGGUUAUUUUGUACUUCCCACAUGCUGCAUUUUGUUGUGUUUUCGAUUUUACAUUUACUUUUUAUAUGCAUUUCUUUUGCACUCAAAAGGAAGCAUAUAAAAAAGAACUGGCGAAGUAUACACUAUCACAACCGGGAUCUUCUCUUGUGGAGCCAUGUCUCAGGACAGUUAGAAUGUGGGCUUCACUAUCAAGCUAG